CCCUUAGAUGUUCUGGGCCGCACGCGCGCUACACUGAUGCAUUCAACGAGUCUAAAACCUGCUCUGAUAGGGGUGGGUAAUCUUUUGAAUGUGCAUCGUGAUUGGGAUAGAUGAUUGAAAUUUUUCAUCUUCAACGAGGAGUGCCUAGUAAACGCAAGUCAUCAGCUUGCAUUGAUUACGUCCCUGCCCUUUGUACACACCGCCCGUCGCUCCUACCGAUUGAAUGAUCCGAUGAAUAUCAUGGAUUGAGGAUGCAAGUAGGUUCACCUAUCUUCAUCUUCGAGAAGUGAAGUAAAUCUUAUCAUUUAGAGGAAGGAGAAGUCGUAACA
This 329-nucleotide ribosomal RNA is filed under the name uncultured eukaryote. Its description in RNAcentral is "partial 18S ribosomal RNA". It matches the Rfam family "Eukaryotic small subunit ribosomal RNA", at positions 1470 to 1796 of the family's 1831-position model. The record is from RNAcentral.